UGGGGAAUAUUGCACAAUGGGGGAAACCCUGAUGCAGCGACUCCGCGUGAACGAAGAAGGUAUUCGUAACGUAAAGUUCUGUCCUAUGGGACGAUAAUGACAGUACCAUAGAAGAAAGCUCCGGCUAAAUACGUGCCAGCAGCCGCGGUAAUACGUAUGGAGCGAGCGUUGUCCGGAAUUGUUGGGCGUAAAGGGUACGCAGGCGGUUUAAUAAGUCGAAUGUUAAAGAUCGGGGCUCAACCCCGUAAAGCAUUGGAAACUGGUAAACUAGAGUAGUGGAGAGGAAAGUGGUAUUCCUAGAGUAGUGGUGAAAUACGUAGAUAUUAGGGGGAAUACCAGUAGCGAAGGCGACUUUCUGGACACAAACUGACGCUGAGGUACGAAAGCGUGGGGAGCAAACAGG
Molecule: ribosomal RNA, 403 nt
Filed under: bacterium
Lineage: Bacteria
Description: partial 16S ribosomal RNA
Rfam family: Bacterial small subunit ribosomal RNA
Source: RNAcentral